Molecule: long non-coding RNA, 1687 nt
Organism: Zeugodacus cucurbitae (melon fly)
Lineage: Eukaryota; Metazoa; Arthropoda; Insecta; Diptera; Tephritidae
Exons: 3
Source: RefSeq, a predicted model, not a curated record
UCAGUCAGCCCUGAGGCUCUUGGUUUGUUUCUGGUAGUAAAACUGAUAAAAUUAGUUUUGAGCUCUUUCACACGGGACAACUCCUGUUGCGGCAAUUCUUAGUUUAUAGGAGAGGGGCGAUGAAGAGAGGAGAAUCGCGCCGAGUCUGCUUUGUUCGGCAACACGCUUUGUGUUCUUAAGGUCCAGACCCAAUGCUGGCUGGCUUUACUUGCUUUGCUGUGAGAACUGUCAAAACUGAAUAGAACUAUACUAGAGCAUAUGCAAAGAGACCAAAUGGAGCUUUGCUUCAAGCGCUUGAAGUUACGAAUAGGUCUAUGCUCUAUUUGCCAGCGCUUCUGGCGCUUUUGACAUUUGAUAUUGUAACUAGGGUUACCAGUUUGGGUGAAAUGUACCAAUUUCAGUAAUUUUUUUGAUGCUACAUUGGCACUCAAAUAUUUAUCACAUAUGCGUUUGCCAGUACAAAUAGUUAAAAUGUAGAAUAUUUAAAAUAUUUGAUAUAUGUAUGUAGAAAUUUACAAAGAGUUUAUAAUAAUAUAACAUUUAACAUGAAAAUAUUAGCAAGUUUAAGUGUGUGGCAACAGUGAUUGUGACAUUAUUUUGAAAGCGUUCAAAGCGCUCAUUUGGUCAUACAAACAUUCAAAGUACGCAAAGUCAACGAAAGCAAGUAAAGCCAGCCAGCAUUGGGUCUGGACCUUUAUUCGUAACAGUAAGCUGCUACCUUCUUUAGUUUUGAUAAAAUAUAACCAAAACUAUUUGACCCAGAAGUGUGCAAACCUGAUGACGCGCAGUGUACAUUGGGAGUACGCGUACAUGCGCGAGUGCGCGUAAGAAGCGAUGUCGUAUAUUAGAAGGAGAUUAGUUGGAACUCAAGAAUUAAUUGCUUCACGGCCAAACACCAUCGAUAGGCAUGAUAUUACUGCCAGCGUUUUUAAGCAAAAAUUAAAAUCUUUAGUGAAUGUCAUUAUAAAGUAUCGUGUACAUGGCCAAAUACGUUGUUGGAUGGAUUCCACGACAAAUUAAUACAAGUAGUGAACAGUGGAUCUGCUGGGUUUUACUUUCUCGAUGCUUUCGGGGUACUGGAAAAAACGUUACUUAUUUCAUUGCUAUUGGCAAAGGCUCGAUCGCAAAGUGAGGUAGCUCUAGCGUUGGUUUCAUCUGGAGUGUUUCUACAAUAAGAUAAAACUGCGAUUUUGUUAUCGAAGCAGUUGCGAGAUAUUAUCAACCUCGACUAGAUUAAUAACAUUUCGCUCAGAUUUCUGUCACUUCACAGACUCGAAAGAGGAGCUUAUUCAGCGGACAUAAAAUCAAUAAAUAAGAAAGCAAGUCGCUGCAAGGCAAGUCGCGGCUAUAUAUUUGUAUCAAAUUUUUCGUAUACAUAUUUCAAGCAGAUAUUAUAGUAAAAUUUUCAUCUGCAAUAUCAACCACCUAAUAAUGUCAAAGACAGGCGGAUGGACAGACAGACGACCGGUGAUACCAACAACAGUUUGGUGAAAAAACUAUUAUACGGUGUGCAACAUUUGUCUUGAAAUUAACAAUAAUUACUUAGCCAAAUUUUGAAACGAUUACAAUCAACCAGUAUGAUGAAAUCAUAUACAUAUAGUUUGUAUAGAGGAUUAAGGAAUGUUUGGCGCUAUUAAUUAAUUCUUUUUACCAAUAAAUCAUUUCUUUACCUAGAUGAAAUUCAAUA